Molecule: ribosomal RNA, 385 nt
Filed under: uncultured bacterium
Lineage: Bacteria
Description: bacterial SSU rRNA
Rfam family: Bacterial small subunit ribosomal RNA
Source: RNAcentral
GACGAACGCUGGCGGCGUGCUUAACACAUGCAAGUCGAGCGGUAAGGCCCUUUCGGGGGUACGACGAGCGGCGAACGGGUGAGUAACACGUGGGUGACCUGCCCUCAGCUCUGGGAUAAGCCUGGGAAACCGGGUCUAAUACUGGAUAUGACUCCAUGACGCAUGUUGGUGGGGUGGAAAGCCUUGUGCGGCUGAGGAUGGGCCCGCGGCCUAUCAGCUUGUUGGUGGGGUGANGGCCUACCAAGCCGACGAUCUGUAGCUGGUCUGAGAGGACGACCAGCCACACUGGGACUGAGACACGGCCCAGACUCCUACGGGAGCAGCAGUGGGGAAUUUUUGUCAAUGGGGGGAAACCCUGAACAAGCAACGCCGCGUGGAGGACGAC